CGCCUCUUGAACCCCAAUAAGAGGUCCAGCCUGCCCAGUGACUCUGUUCAACGGCCGCGGUAUCCUAACCGUGCGAAGGUAGCGUAAUCACUUGUUCUUUAAUUGUGGACUAGUAUGAAUGGCACCACGAGGGUUAUACUGUCUCCUUUUUCUAAUCAGUGAAACUAAUCUCCCCGUGAAGAAGCGGGGAUAAGAAUAUAAGACGAGAAGACCCUAUGGAGCUUUAAACAAUAUAGCAAUUACCGUGCAAUUUAAAAUUUUCUGAAUCUUUAACAUACCAAAGGUGAUAUGACUGUAAGUUUUUGGUUGGGGUGACCACGGAGCAUAACAUAACCUCCAUGUUGAAAGAAUUUUUAGCUAAGACCCACCCGUCCAAGCAUCAAUUUAUUGACAUCCAUUGACCCAAUAUAUUUGACCAACGAACCAAGUUACCCUAGGGAUAACAGCGCAAUCCACUUCAAGAGCUCCUAUCGACAAGUGGGUUUACGACCUCGAUGUUGGAUCAGGGUAUCCCAGUGGUGCAGCCGCUACUAAAGGUUCGUUUGUUCAACGAUUAAAACCCUACG
Molecule: ribosomal RNA, 566 nt
Filed under: Capensibufo rosei
Lineage: Eukaryota; Metazoa; Chordata; Amphibia; Anura; Bufonidae
Description: partial 16S ribosomal RNA
Rfam family: Bacterial large subunit ribosomal RNA
Source: RNAcentral